This 406-nucleotide ribosomal RNA is filed under the name uncultured bacterium. RNAcentral describes it as "partial 16S ribosomal RNA". It matches the Rfam family "Bacterial small subunit ribosomal RNA", at positions 30 to 526 of the family's 1533-position model. The record is from RNAcentral.
AUUGAACGCUGGCGGCAGGCCUAACACAUGCAAGUCGAACGAGUGGCGGACGGGUGAGUAAUGUCUGGGAAACUGCCUGAUGGAGGGGGAUAACUACUGGAAACGGUAGCUAAUACCGCAUACCAUCGGAUGUGCCCAGCUGGGAUUAGCUAGUAGGUGGGGUAAAGGCUCACCUAGGCGACGCUCCCUAGCUGGUCUGAGAGGAUGACCUGCCACAUGGGAACUGAGACGCGGACCAGACUCCUACGGGAGGCGGCAGGGGGGAAUAUUGGACAAUGGGAGCGAGCCUGAUGUAGCCAUGCCGCGUGUAGGAAGAAAGCCUGCGUGUUGUAAAGUACUUUCAGCGGGGAAGCGUUACCCGAAGAAGAAGCACCGGCUAACUCCGUGCCAGCAGCCGCGGUAAUUC